Molecule: ribosomal RNA, 738 nt
Filed under: uncultured marine bacterium
Lineage: Bacteria
Description: bacterial SSU rRNA
Rfam family: Bacterial small subunit ribosomal RNA
Source: RNAcentral
GGUAGCAAACAGGAUUAGAUACCCUGGUAGUCCACGCCGUAAAACGAUGACAACUAGCCGUUGGGAGGGUUUACCUCUUAGUGGCGAAGCUAACGCGUUAAGUUGUCCGCCUGGGGAGUACGGCCGCAAGGUUAAAACUCAAAGGAAUUGACGGGGACCCGCACAAGCGGUGGAGCAUGUGGUUUAAUUCGAUGCAACGCGAAGAACCUUACCUGGUCUUGACAUACACGGAACUUUCCAGAGAUGGAUUGGUGCCUUCGGGAACCGUGAUACAGGUGCUGCAUGGCUGUCGUCAGCUCGUGUCGUGAGAUGUUGGGUUAAGUCCCGUAACGAGCGCAACCCCUAUCCUUAUUUGCCAGCACAUCAUGGUGGGAACUAUAAGGAGACUGCCGGUGAUAAACCGGAGGAAGGCGGGGACGACGUCAAGUCAUCAUGGCCCUUACGACCAGGGCUACACACGUGCUACAAUGGGAAGGACAAAGGGUUGCUAAGCCGCGAGGUGGUGCUAAUCUCAUAAACCUUUUCGUAGUCCGGAUCGGAGUCUGCAACUCGACUCCGUGAAGUCGGAAUCGCUAGUAAUUGUGGAUCAGAAUGCCACGGUGAAUACGUUCCCGGGUCUUGUACACACCGCCCGUCAUACCAUGGGAGUGGGUUGCACCAGAAGUAGCUAGUCUAACUGUUUACAGGGGACGGUUACCACGGUGUGAUUCAUGACUGGGGUAAAGUCGUAACAAGGUA